CUAAAAUGCAACAGUUGUCAGAUCUAGGACGGCGGUUGGACCUCAACAAAGUUCACCUGGAUGACUCAUCCUGUUGCUCAGAUGAUCGCAUGCUUGCCUGUCCUUCAACAGCAGGCUCAGAAAGUGGUCCUGAUGGAUUUACUGGCAGCGUGCAGGAUGGAACUUGUGCAAGCACAUUUCAGAUAAAAGAAGCCACUGAGCGCUCAAAUGAAGCUUCUGGCUUGUUUAAACAAGAUAAUGUGACAAAUCUUGCUCUUGUGGAUUUCAAUAGAAAAAAUGAGAGCAGAGACGUUUGGACCAGAAAUACUGGAAUAAAUAGUAGUGUAGAGAGCCCUGUUGGUCCAGAAUCCGUGCUUAGCCCCCCAGUAGGCAUUUCUGAAGAACUUGGUUGCUACAGUGGAGAUCAAAAGAGUGACAGUGUUGAGCUGAAGCCAAAACUUGCUAGAGAAGUGAGUUGCGAGAAGAGUGAGGUAGAG
Molecule: unclassified non-coding RNA, 476 nt
Filed under: Hevea brasiliensis (rubber tree)
Lineage: Eukaryota; Viridiplantae; Streptophyta; Magnoliopsida; Malpighiales; Euphorbiaceae
Source: RNAcentral